CCUACGGGUGGCAGCAGUGAGGAAUAUUGGUCAAUGGGCGCGAGCCUGAACCAGCCAAGUCGCGUGAGGGAAGACGGUCCUAUGGAUUGUAAACCUCUUUUGUCGGGGAGCAAAAGACGCCACGCGUGGCGUUCCGAGAGUACCCGAAGAAAAAGCAUCGGCUAACUCCGUGCCAGCAGCCGCGGUAAUACGGAGGAUGCGAGCGUUAUCCGGAUUUAUUGGGGUUAAAGGGUGCGCAGGCGGAAGAUCAAGUCAGCGGUAAAAUUGCAGUUGAAACUGGCAGUCUUGAGUACAGUAGAGGUGGGCGGAAUUCGUGGUGUAGCGGUGAAAUGCAUAGAUAUCACGCAGAACUCCGAUUGCGAAGGCAGCAUACCGGCGCGCAACUGACGCUCAUGCACGAAAGCGUGGGUAUCGAACAGGAUUAGAUACCCGGGUAGUC
Molecule: ribosomal RNA, 439 nt
Filed under: uncultured bacterium
Lineage: Bacteria
Description: partial 16S ribosomal RNA
Rfam family: Bacterial small subunit ribosomal RNA
Source: RNAcentral